AUAAUGAACUACUUAGUUAAGGUUGACUAUCAGAAAUAGAUAAUAGUACUCCCUAAUAUCCAAUAAGAUAACUCGAGAUAUUGUAACCCAUACGAUGGGAAAGAGAACAUCAUUAUAAGGUUCUGAACCUCUCCAAGAAGAGGCAGAACAAAUUAAUAUCAUCAAUAAAAAGCUUUCCAUAUAUUUCUUCUUAAUACAAAAAAGCUUGCUUCUUGUUCCUUUUAUUCGGUCUUUUGAUUUAUUAUGAUAUGCUAUGAUUGGCCCUUAAAUUAUUUUGACUGUUUUAUGCUUAUAAAGUGCAAGAUAACUUUGAGCUAAAUAAUUUGGCACCGCCUAUGGAGAUUUCAUAGCAGCACCCUAAAGCCCAUUACGACUACCUCAGUCAUCAAUCCGGCGUUUGUAACGCCCCUCAACGAUGUGUUUGGACUCCGAGCACAACACCCCGAACAACGACACCAAGUUAUCCUCUUGAAGCAGCAUGUUCUGCUCUGUGGGAAUCUCAACAUAGCGAAACCGCCUCUCUGCAUGCACCGUCGAGUUGGUGAGCCCUUCUUGGAACAUACGAACGUCGUCAGGAUCCAAGUCAGACUCGGAUUCGUACUCCUCUCCUGCAACUCCCCUUCCUCCCUCCGCCGACUGAGAAGAUGAGGCUCCUGCUCCCACAACCAAAUUGGCACUUAUUUCUCCAACAAAAACAGAUGCUGAGGAACUACCUCCCCUCUCAGCAAGUGGGACUGUCAACUGAGUCGCCGAAGUGACGGUAUCAUCAUGGCCUGAGACAACUGGGGAAACCCCCACUGUGUGUUCACCCUGAAAGGAGGUGUCUCCACCACAUUCCUCUCCGCAUCCUAUGGUGGAGAAUCCAAACUUAUCACCACUGGAGGAGCCGACGUAAAUACAAUCAUAUGCCUAACCAGUGGCCAAAAGCUGAAUUUAACAAGUGAAAGACUUAUGUGCAUGGUUUCAAGUCUUUAGGAACUCAGUAGCGCACACCAACAAAUGAUCAGUCCUGAUGUAGGAGAAAUGCUCAUAAGGGUGAGAGUCGACCACGUCAUCUAAUUAGGUAUUCAAACCCCCUAUCCCAUGAGGGAUCGCCCGAAUCAUGGUACCACGGACCCUCAGAGGGGCGUAAAGAGUCAGCACGUGUUGGAGUAUAACCUCCCUUUAAGCCAGUUCCACAUAUUUAAUAAACAUUGCGAGAAGGUUGUAAAGAGGCAGAACAAGCUGGCCCGGGCACACCCUGUAAUGAAGGCAGAAGUCGACCACCAACAUAGGAAGAGGGAGCCUCAAUCCCAACUGUAAGGGAUAAGCGUAGAAGACGCAAUACCCUCUACGGUCGACGUGAACCCUCUCCUCGCGUCUAGCACGGGAAAUAUCAGCGAAGCAGGGGAUAUCCCACUAUUCCCGUAACUAUGCAAUACCCACUUCCCCCAUCAAUGGGGCCUCAUCAACCUGAUCUUCUCCCACCGGUGAAGUCAGUAGCCAGACCUCCGGGCAAGGAUAGAAUAUCGUUCGCUGAUGGAACCCAGUCGAUCUCCGCCGAUCCAGUGGCUCUCACUACAGUAGAUGUCCCUUCAGCCACCGGAAGAAUAACCGGAAGAGUCGCUAGAGUGAGGUUGUUGAGAGAACUACUUGCCAUUGCGAUUGAUGGGAAAGAAAAGGAUGAGAUUCAAUGAGACAAAAACAAAGAUGGUGUUAAAUGAAGAACCAGGUAGAAGAUGAACUAACGAUAAAGGAAGUUCCUUCAGAAAUCUCACCUAGACAAAUAAAGAAAGUGUGAGAAAUGACUAACACAACUCCUUAUUUAUAGGGAACACAAGUGGCUUUCACGAAUUCCAAUAGCAAUAAUUAACUAUUU
This 1858-nucleotide long non-coding RNA is filed under the name Nicotiana benthamiana. Its description in RNAcentral is "long non-coding RNA (NBEN_LNC009347)". The record is from RNAcentral. Lineage: Eukaryota; Viridiplantae; Streptophyta; Magnoliopsida; Solanales; Solanaceae.